GACGUAGGGCGCGAGCGUUGUCCGGAUUUAUUGGGCGUAAAGAGCUCGUAGGCGGUUUGUCGCGUCGAAUGUGAAAACCCGGGGCUCAACCCCGGGCCUGCAUUCGAUACGGGCAGACUAGAGUGCGGUAGGGGAGAUUGGAAUUCCUGGUGUAGCGGUGGAAUGCGCAGAUAUCAGGAGGAACACCAAUGGCGAAGGCAGAUCUCUGGGCCGUAACUGACGCUGAGGAGCGAAAGCAUGGGGAGCGAACAGG
This 253-nucleotide ribosomal RNA is filed under the name uncultured bacterium. RNAcentral's name for it is "partial 16S ribosomal RNA". It matches the Rfam family "Bacterial small subunit ribosomal RNA", at positions 524 to 776 of the family's 1533-position model. The record is from RNAcentral.